This is a long non-coding RNA of Prionailurus viverrinus (fishing cat), 536 nucleotides long. RefSeq lists it as uncharacterized. The record is from RefSeq and is a predicted model, not a curated record. The transcript has 3 exons. NCBI's taxonomy places the organism in Eukaryota, Metazoa, Chordata, Mammalia, Carnivora, Felidae.
UCGGGGUUCAAACCCACAUACCGUGAGAUCAUGACUGGAGCUGAAACCAAGAGUCAGACACCUAAUGGAUUGAGCCACCCAGGUGCCCCUAGUUUUGAAAAUUUUAAUUUCAGAAAAGUCUUGAGUAGCUUUUGGGUUGCUUUUGUUUGGCAUUUUUUUGUGUGCCUUUGCUUUGGUUUUCUUUUUCAGAGAUUUCUAUUAACCUAUUAGUGGAGCUCUUGAAGAUGCUCAAAGAAAGAUGCCUAAGGGGAUAAAAAGAAAGAAGAAAAGAAACAGUGCACAUUCGAGAAACAGUUCACAUUGGAGAAACAGUUCACCUUCACUUGGAAAAGGCAACAAUGUACAUCUAUAGUCUUACCCGAGGGGUAAUCUCUGUGCCCAAGGUGGGGCUUGAACUCAUGACCACAAAAUCAAGAGCCUGAUGCUCCAUGGACUGAACCAGCCAGGCACCCCAAUACUACAUUUCAAAGCAUCAGUAUAACACAGCCUAUGUUCUAUGACUGUAACACAAUCACAUGGGAAAUAACUAAUUAAAG